Molecule: small nuclear RNA, 103 nt
Organism: Mastomys coucha (southern multimammate mouse)
Lineage: Eukaryota; Metazoa; Chordata; Mammalia; Rodentia; Muridae
Source: RefSeq, a predicted model, not a curated record
CUGCUUUGGCAGCACAUAUACUAAAAUUGGAAUGAUAUAGAGAAGAUUAGCAUGGACCCUGCACAAGGAUGGCAUGCACAUUCAUGAGGCUAGUACCAUUUUA